GUAGUCCACGCCGUAAACGAUGGGCACUAGGUGCUUGGGGGAGCGACCCUCUGAGUGCCGGCGCUAACGCAUUAAGUGCCCCGCCUGGGGAGUACGGCCGCAAGGCUGAAACUCAAAGGAAUUGACGGGGGCCCGCACAAGCGGUGGAGCAUGUGGUUUAAUUCGACGCAACGCGAAGAACCUUACCUAGGCUUGACAUGCUGGUGAAACCCUCCAGAAACGGAGGGCCUCCUUCGGGACACCAGCACAGGUGCUGCAUGGCUGUCGUCAGCUCGUGUCGUGAGAUGUUGGGUUAAGUCCCGCAACGAGCGCAACCCCCGUUCCCAGUUGCUAACGGGUAAUGCCGAGGACUCUGGGAAGACUGCCGGUGCCAAACCGGA
This 380-nucleotide ribosomal RNA is filed under the name uncultured bacterium. Its description in RNAcentral is "bacterial SSU rRNA". It matches the Rfam family "Bacterial small subunit ribosomal RNA", at positions 790 to 1167 of the family's 1533-position model. The record is from RNAcentral.